RNAcentral lists this transfer RNA (73 nucleotides) under Daphnia pulex (common water flea). It matches the Rfam family "tRNA". From Rfam's summary of the family: Transfer RNA (tRNA) molecules are approximately 80 nucleotides in length. Their secondary structure includes four short double-helical elements and three loops (D, anti-codon, and T loops). The record is from Rfam by way of RNAcentral. Lineage: Eukaryota; Metazoa; Arthropoda; Branchiopoda; Diplostraca; Daphniidae.
GGGGAUGUAGCUCAGAUGGUAGAGCGCUCGCUUAGCAUGCGAGAAGUACGGGGAUCGGUAGCCUGCAUCUCCA